UGCAAGUCGAGCGGUAGAGAGAAGCUUGCUUCUCUUGAGAGCGGCGGACGGGUGAGUAAUGCCUAGGAAUCUGCCUGGUAGUGGGGGAUAACGUUCGGAAACGGACGCUAAUACCGCAUACGUCCUACGGGAGAAAGCAGGGGACCUUCGGGCCUUGCGCUAUCAGAUGAGCCUAGGUCGGAUUAGCUAGUUGGUGAGGUAAUGGCUCACCAAGGCGACGAUCCGUAACUGGUCUGAGAGGAUGAUCAGUCACACUGGAACUGAGACACGGUCCAGACUCCUACGGGAGGCAGCAGUGGGGAAUAUUGGACAAUGGGCGAAAGCCUGAUCCAGCCAUGCCGCGUGUGUGAAGAAGGUCUUCGGAUUGUAAAGCACUUUAAGUUGGGAGGAAGGGCAGUUGCCUAAUACGUAACUGUUUUGACGUUACCGACAGAAUAAGCACCGGCUAACUCUGUGCCAGCAGCCGCGGUAAUACAGAGGGUGCAAGCGCUAAUCGGAAUUACUGGGCGUAAAGCGCGCGUAGGUGGUUUGUUAAGUUGGAUGUGAAAUCCCCGGGCUCAACCUGGGAACUGCAUUCAAAACUGACUGACUAGAGUAUGGUAGAGGGUGGUGGAAUUUCCUGUGUAGCGGUGAAAUGCGUAGAUAUAGGAAGGAACACCAGUGGCGAAGGCGACCACCUGGACUAAUACUGACACUGAGGUGCG
Molecule: ribosomal RNA, 704 nt
Filed under: uncultured bacterium
Lineage: Bacteria
Description: bacterial SSU rRNA
Rfam family: Bacterial small subunit ribosomal RNA
Source: RNAcentral